Molecule: long non-coding RNA, 747 nt
Organism: Quercus robur (English oak)
Lineage: Eukaryota; Viridiplantae; Streptophyta; Magnoliopsida; Fagales; Fagaceae
Exons: 3
Source: RefSeq, a predicted model, not a curated record
GCUACCCCUUGGGUUGUCCCUACCCCCGAUCCCUCUCCAUCCACCCCACAUCCAUCCCCUAGCCCUACCAUCCCUUCAUCCACCCCGCAUCCAUCCCCUAGCCCCACCAUCCCUUCACCCAUCUCACAUUCAUCUCCUCGCCCCACCAUCCCUCCACCCACUCCACAUCCUUGUCCUGGGUCUGACAUUCAUCCACCCACCCCACGGUCAUUUCCCGAGCUGUCACCCAUUCCAUCCUUUGACCUGGGUAUUCAUCCAACCCCACCUGACAUGUAGCAGGAGCCACCCUCCCACAGUACGUCUAUUGGCCCUUCAUCAGCCAUUGACCCACCCCAUGUUCAGGUUGAGUAGGUUGGUGGGUUACCUGCUCAACCAGAAGGUCGACCGAAACGCAUAUCAAAGGCACCUCCUUGUGGGACAAGGGGGCACAAACAUGGACACAACGCUGGGCCCGAGGCAUCUAACGAAGGACAUGCAAGACCUCCUCAUUAUACGAGAUGGCAUAAGGUCCAAAAAAGAUGAUGAUGCUAUGAAAAGGCUGGAAGCACUGAAAUUCAAGUUCAGCACAAUAAAAGCAGCAACAAAUAACUUUUCUAAUGCCAAUAAGCUUGGAGAGGGCGGAUUUUAGGUCGAUUUUGAAGUGGCUGGGUCCAAGGAAACUGAUGAAAAGGCUGAUGAGGUUCUAAAGUAGGAUAUUUUGGAUUGUUGGACGGCAGAAAAUCACUAUCGAUGGUCUAAAUCUAAGUG